Molecule: ribosomal RNA, 433 nt
Filed under: uncultured bacterium
Lineage: Bacteria
Description: partial 16S ribosomal RNA
Rfam family: Bacterial small subunit ribosomal RNA
Source: RNAcentral
AACGAACGCUGGCGGCAUGCCUAACACAUGCAAGUCGAACGAGACCUUCGGGUCUAGUGGCGCACGGGUGCGUAACGCGUGGGAACCUGCCCUUAGGUUCGGAAUAACUCCCCGAAAGGGGUGCUAAUACCGGAUAAUGUCUUCGGACCAAAGAUUUAUCGCCUUUGGAUGGGCCCGCGUUGGAUUAGCUAGUUGGUAGGGUAAAAGCCUACCAAGGCGACGAUCCAUAGCUGGUCUGAGAGGAUGAUCAGCCACACUGGGACUGAGACACGGCCCAGACUCCUACGGGAGGCAGCAGUGGGGAAUAUUGGACAAUGGGCGAAAGCCUGAUACAGCAAUGCCGCGUGAGUGAUGAAGGCCUUAGGGUUGUAAAGCUCUUUUACACGGGAUGAGAAUGACAGUACCGGGAGAAUAAGCUCCGGCUAACUCCGUG